GACGAACGCUGGCGGCGUGCUUAACACAUGCAAGUCGAACGGUGAACGAGGGAGCUUGCUCCCUCCGGAUCAGUGGCGAACGGGUGAGUAACACGUGAGCAAUCUGCCCCGAACUCUGGGAUAAGCGUUGGAAACGACGUCUAAUACCGGAUACGACGCGGGAGGGCAUCCUCUCCGCGUGGAAAGAACUUCGGUUCGGGAUGAGCUCGCGGCCUAUCAGCUUGUUGGUGAGGUACCGGCUCACCAAGGCGAUGACGGGUAGCCGGCCUGAGAGGGUGACCGGCCACACUGGGAAUGAGACACGGCCCAGAGUCCUACGGGAGGCAGCAGUGGGGAAUAUUGCACAAUGGGCGCAAGACUGAUGCAGCAACGCCGCGUGAGGGACGACGGCCUUCGGGUUGUAAACCUCUUUUAGCAGGGAAGAAGCGAAAGUGACGGUACCUGCAGAAAAAGCUCCGGCUAACUACGUG
Molecule: ribosomal RNA, 470 nt
Filed under: uncultured bacterium
Lineage: Bacteria
Description: partial 16S ribosomal RNA
Rfam family: Bacterial small subunit ribosomal RNA
Source: RNAcentral